UCCCAGGUGGCUCAGUGGUAAAGAGUCUGCCUGCAAUGCAGGAAACCCAGUUUUGAUCCCUGGGUAGGGAA
Molecule: transfer RNA, 71 nt
Filed under: Bos taurus (domestic cattle)
Lineage: Eukaryota; Metazoa; Chordata; Mammalia; Artiodactyla; Bovidae
Also listed under: 2 other names
Rfam family: tRNA
About the family: Transfer RNA (tRNA) molecules are approximately 80 nucleotides in length. Their secondary structure includes four short double-helical elements and three loops (D, anti-codon, and T loops). Further hydrogen bonds mediate the characteristic L-shaped molecular structure. tRNAs have two regions of fundamental functional importance: the anti-codon, which is responsible for specific mRNA codon recognition, and the 3' end, to which the tRNAs corresponding amino acid is attached (by aminoacyl-tRNA synthetases). tRNAs cope with the degeneracy of the genetic code in two manners: having more than one tRNA (with a specific anti-codon) for a particular amino acid; and 'wobble' base-pairing, i.e. permitting non-standard base-pairing at the 3rd anti-codon position.
Source: Rfam by way of RNAcentral